Molecule: unclassified non-coding RNA, 334 nt
Filed under: soil metagenome
Description: partial contains 5.8S ribosomal RNA, internal transcribed spacer 2, and large subunit ribosomal RNA
Rfam family: 5.8S ribosomal RNA (bases 1-120)
Source: RNAcentral
GAUGAAGAACGCAUCGAAAUGCGAUAAGUAAUGUGAAUUGCAGAAUUCAGUGAAUCAUCGAAUCUUUGAACGCACAUUGCGCCCGCCAGUAUUCUGGCGGGCAUGCCUGUUCGAGCGUCAUUUCAACCAUCAAGCCCUGCUUGCGUUGGGGUCCUGCGGCUGCCCGCAGGCCCUGAAAACCAGUGGCGGGCUCGCUAGUCACACCGAGCGCAGUAAUACAUCUCGCUUUGGGCGUGCGGCGGGUUCUUGCCGUUAAACACCCCCUUUUUACCAAGGUUGACCUCGGAUCAGGUAGGAAUACCCGCUGAACUUAAGCAUAUCAAUAAGCGGAGGA